Molecule: ribosomal RNA, 406 nt
Filed under: uncultured bacterium
Lineage: Bacteria
Description: partial 16S ribosomal RNA
Rfam family: Bacterial small subunit ribosomal RNA
Source: RNAcentral
AUUGAACGCUGGCGGCAGGCCUAACACAUGCAAGUCGAACGAGUGGCGGACGGGUGAGUAAUGGCUGGGCAACUGCCUGAUGGAGGGGGAUAACUACUGGAAACGGUAGCUAAUACCGCAUACCAUCGGAUGUGCCAAGAUGGGAUUAGCUAGUAGGUGGGGGAAAGGCUCACCUAGGCGACGAUGCCUAGCUGGGCUGAGAGGCGGACGAGCCACACUGGAACUGAGACACGGUCCAGACUCCUACGGGAGGCAGCAGUGGGGAAUAUUGCACAAUGGGCGCAAGCCUGAGCCAGCCAUGCCGCGUGUGUGAAGAAGGCCUUCGGGUUGUAAAGUACUGUCAUCGGGGAGGCGUUACCCGCAGAGGAAGCACCGGCUAACUACGUGCCAGCAGCCGCGGUAAUAC